GUAGGUGAACCUGCGGAAGGAUCAUUAACACGUAUCCAACGUUAAACAACCCUGUGAACUUUCAGCGCUCUUGUAGCCCCAGAGGAACAGCAAUCCCGGUAAAUCAAAUGGCGGAAAGAGUUUUGAUUCGGGACCUCUGUCCAAAAGGUAUCAAGUUACAAUCGAGCAGAGCAGUGGCAUGGUUUCCCUAAGCAGUGCAGAAGGAUCCACUGAGUAAGGAUAACGCAUCACGGUUGCCAGAGGUCGAUCACCGGCCGGCAGACAUGUCACAGGGCUUUACGCCCAAUCAAGCCUCGCGGAAACGCCGGGCAUAAAAACCGAACAACUGUUAACAAUGGAUAUCUUGGUUCUC
RNAcentral lists this unclassified non-coding RNA (352 nucleotides) under rhizosphere metagenome. RNAcentral describes it as "partial ribosomal RNA internal transcribed spacer region". The record is from RNAcentral.